AGCUUGGUCAUACAGGGGGUCAAUUUCUAGUUCUUUUGAGAAACUGUCACAAUGGUUUCUAGAGUGACUGUCUGAGAUUCUCAUGGUCUAGGUAACACUCCUCUUCCUUUGCUUCUCAUUCUGAGGGUAAAAUGAAUAACUGUCAACUCUAAAAGUUGCAAAUGUUUCUAUUCAUAUAGAAGGGGGAAGACAUGAUCUUUCCUUUAGUAUUUCCUGGCCUGGAAAGCUUUUAAGGGAGUGAGAAAUCAGUGCGUGAUUUUAAAAAGUAUUGCUCCACUCCCGUGACUCCACAUGGAAAAUGAUUGUGUUUAUUAGCAAAGGAAGAGCUGCAUGUAAAUAUUUGAGUUUUAUUAUUUUUUAUGCAUUUCUAUUCUUUUCUAUAUCAAGAAUGAUAAGGCCUGCCUCUAAGGUUCACAUAAUUAAGUAAAAUUUACAAGUACAAUUAUUACCAUAUUAGAUCAGUAUUUCUUGGGCAUAGUCAGUAUGGUGGUGUCUACAAAUUGUUGUUUAAUACUUUGUGUCAACAAAUCCCCUAUGUAUGACCCACACAUUCUACUGCAUAUGCUGCAAGUAGCCUAACUUUAACUGAAGCUAAAAGAUCCAAAGGUCACUUAGGAAAAUAACUUAGUAAAGACAGUUCAAAGUCACUUAAAAGCCAAUUGCUGCCCCACCCUCCCAAAGGAAAUUAUAUUUUAUGAAGUUACCUAAAAUUUUGAAAUUGAACCAAUGUCUAGCACCUACAUAUCCUCAUUCAAAAGGCUUUUUACUUAAGUUUUGGAGUUUCUUGAUAUUUUCCCAGGUUCCAUAUCCAAUUCUGCCAGAUAUCACAGUGCUUAACAAACUUAAUUGCAACUGUGGAUCUAGAGAAGAGUGGUGGAUUGUCAAGCUCCACCUGCACUUACCUGUGUUCCCAGUAUUUAUUCUGGCGACGUAAUACCAAUCAUACAACUUCUACUAUAACGUAAAAUAAAGAACUUAUAAAU
This 983-nucleotide long non-coding RNA is filed under the name Mus musculus (house mouse). RNAcentral describes it as "long non-coding RNA chr1:51077891-51078874". The record is from RNAcentral. Lineage: Eukaryota; Metazoa; Chordata; Mammalia; Rodentia; Muridae.